CCGACGGUGAGGGGCGAAAGCUGGGGGAGCAAACCGGAUUAGAUACCCGGGUAGUCCCAGCCGUAAACGGUGUGCGUUAGGUGUAUCGGUGACCACGAGUCACCGAGGUGCCGAAGAGAAAUCGUGAAACGUACCGCCUGGGAAGUACGGUCGCAAGGCUGAAACUUAAAGGAAUUGGCGGGGGAGCACCACAACAGGUGGAGCCUGCGGUUUAAUCGGACUCAACGCCGGGAAACUCACCAGAUAAGACAGCUGAAUGAUAGUCGGGCUGAAGACUCUACUUGACUAGCUGAGAGGAGGUGCAUGGCCGUCGUCAGUUCGUACUGUGAAGCAUCCUGUUAAGUCAGGCAACGAGCGAGACCCACGCCAACAGUUGCU
This 378-nucleotide ribosomal RNA is filed under the name uncultured archaeon. RNAcentral's name for it is "bacterial SSU rRNA". It matches the Rfam family "Archaeal small subunit ribosomal RNA", at positions 691 to 1068 of the family's 1478-position model. The record is from RNAcentral.